Molecule: ribosomal RNA, 292 nt
Filed under: uncultured eukaryote
Lineage: Eukaryota
Description: partial 18S ribosomal RNA
Rfam family: Eukaryotic small subunit ribosomal RNA
Source: RNAcentral
GGUUGAUCCUGCCAGUAGUCGUGUGCUUGUUUCAACGACUAAGCCAUGCAUGUCUAAGUAUAAGCACUUGUACUGUGAAACUGCGAAUGGCUCAUUAUAUCAGUUAUAAUUUAUUUGAUGGUACAUUACUACUUGGAUAACCGUGGUAAUUCUAGAGCUAAUACAUGCGACGAGCCCCGCAAGGGGCGCAUUUAUUAGAUUCAAGCCAGCGCCGCAAGGCCGUGGUGAUUCAUAAUAACUGAGCAGAUCGUAUGGCCUUGCGCCGACGACGUGUCAUUCAAAUUUCUGCCCU